Phascolarctos cinereus (koala) is the source of this 466-nucleotide long non-coding RNA. RefSeq lists it as uncharacterized. The record is from RefSeq and is a predicted model, not a curated record. NCBI's taxonomy places the organism in Eukaryota, Metazoa, Chordata, Mammalia, Diprotodontia, Phascolarctidae.
AGUUUGCUAGAUCACCGCUGAGCUCUCCCUCUUGCAACGCUUCCGCUGGGCAGGCCGGACGGAGAUGGCCCCUGGGCACCUGUCCCCGGCCUGCCAGCCCUGGCCCCUCCGGUUCUCCAGAUUCCCCACGUCCGCGUCCGCGGAUCAGCACGCGCGGGGCCCCGCGUCCGCCCCUCUCCGGGCCCGCCCAGCGCAACCAGGGCUCCCAGAGAGGCCACGGGCAGGCGAGGUCAGGGAACUGAGACCCAGAGAAGUUGGAAGUCUUGCCUAAGGUCACACAAUUGGCAGGCAGCAGAAUUAAGACUCAAACUUGGAUUCACUGACUUCAGUGGAAAUGAUGAAGAUGAAGCUUUGCUGCACCCUCAGGACCAUAGGACUUUGCCAUCUGACUUGCAACGGAAACCUUCUAUAUGUAUUAUCUUUCCCAUUAUAAUGUAGGCUCCUUGAGAACAGUUUUCUUUUUGUA